GUGGUUGUGGCUCAGUGGUAGAGUGCUCACUUAGCAUGUGUGAGGCCCUGAGUUUGAUCCUCAGAACCACA
This 71-nucleotide transfer RNA is filed under the name Ictidomys tridecemlineatus (thirteen-lined ground squirrel). RNAcentral describes it as "Spermophilus tridecemlineatus (thirteen-lined ground squirrel) tRNA". It matches the Rfam family "tRNA". Rfam says of the family: Transfer RNA (tRNA) molecules are approximately 80 nucleotides in length. Their secondary structure includes four short double-helical elements and three loops (D, anti-codon, and T loops). Lineage: Eukaryota; Metazoa; Chordata; Mammalia; Rodentia; Sciuridae. The record is from Rfam by way of RNAcentral.